CCUACGGGGGGCAGCAGUGGGGAAUAUUGGACAAUGGGGGGAACCCUGAUCCAGCCAUGCCGCGUGUGUGAAGAAGGCCCUCGGGUUGUAAAGCACUUUCAGUGAGGAAGAACGCCUGGUGGUUAAUACCCAUCAGGAAAGACAUCACUCACAGAAGAAGCACCGGCUAACUCCGUGCCAGCAGCCGCGGUAAUACGGAGGGGUGCGAGCGUUAAUCGGAAUUACUGGGCGUAAAGCGCGCGUAGGUGGCUUGAUAAGCCGGUUGUGAAAGCCCCGGGCUCAACCUGGGAACGGCAUCCGGAACUGUCAAGCUAGAGUGCAGGAGAGGAAGGUAGAAUUCCCGGUGUAGCGGUGAAAUGCGUAGAGAUCGGGAGGAAUACCAGUGGCGAAGGCGGCCUUCUGGACUGACACAGACACUGAGGUGCGAAAGCGUGGGUAGCAAACAGGAUUAGAUACCCUUGUAGUC
Molecule: ribosomal RNA, 466 nt
Filed under: Vreelandella stevensii
Lineage: Bacteria; Pseudomonadati; Pseudomonadota; Gammaproteobacteria; Oceanospirillales; Halomonadaceae
Description: partial 16S ribosomal RNA
Rfam family: Bacterial small subunit ribosomal RNA
Source: RNAcentral